GAUGAACGCUAGCGGCAGGCUUAAUACAUGCAAGUCGUGGGGCAGCAUGAGUAGCAAUACUUGAUGGCGACCGGCAAACGGGUGAGGAACACGUACACAACCUUUCUUCAAGCGGGGAAUAGCCCAGAGAAAUUUGGAUUAAUACCCCAUAAUAUAUUUGAUAAGGCAUCUUAUUAAUAUUAAAGCUUCGGCACUUGAUGAUGGGUGUGCGGCUGAUUAGAUAGUUGGCGGGUAACGGCCCACCAAGUCUACGAUCAGCAGCUGAUGUGAGAGCAUGAUCAGCCACACGGGCACUGAGACACGGGCCCGACUCCUACGGGAGGCAGCAGUAAGGAAUAUUGGACAAUGGACGAAAGUCUGAUCCAGCCAUGCCGCGUGAAGGAUUAAGGUCCUCUGGAUUGUAAACUUCUUUUAUAUGGGACGAAAAAGGGCAUUCUUGUUCACUUGACGGUACCAUAUGAAUAAGCACCGGCUAACUCCGUGCCAG
This 487-nucleotide ribosomal RNA is filed under the name uncultured bacterium. RNAcentral describes it as "bacterial SSU rRNA". It matches the Rfam family "Bacterial small subunit ribosomal RNA", at positions 28 to 511 of the family's 1533-position model. The record is from RNAcentral.